This is a long non-coding RNA of Saccostrea echinata, 985 nucleotides long. RefSeq lists it as uncharacterized. NCBI's taxonomy places the organism in Eukaryota, Metazoa, Mollusca, Bivalvia, Ostreida, Ostreidae. The transcript is spliced from 3 exons. The record is from RefSeq and is a predicted model, not a curated record.
AUUUUAUUUCUUAACUGUUCUUGUGUGUCGAGACAAGGUCAGUUGUAUUGAGAGCACUAACAAAUUAUAUUUGCUAUUGGGGUCAAAAAUCAGGUGUUGAGUGAUGUAGACUUUUCUUGUAAUCAUGGGUAAAAAUAGACACAUAUACUGAUGAAAAAAAUUCAAUUAAAUUGUGUAAUGCAGAGCAAAACUAUUAUUGCAGAUUUUGGAGUUUUCACAACAAGAGCAAACUUAAGGUGACUUUAUUCUUGAAAAUGUUGGAGACUGAGAGGCAGGUGUGUAUACAGACAACUCUGCAUGGAAUUGGAGGAUACAAGUAUAUAACUGAAUGCAUUCUGUCUGGAUUUCUGUAUGGUGACAGAAGGCUUUGAUAUGGGGAGAAUUGGAGUGGCUAAGAAUCAGAUGGAGACCCAAUGUCAGUUCACAUGGAAUACCAGGGUUUGCAAAGGAGGACAUUGGAACUGGCUUAAGUAUUCGAACUUCUGAUGGCAGUUGAUGAAAGAAGAUGUCAUACUUAGGGAAACAUUAAAUUACUUUGAAUGAUAUUACCUAAAAACAUCAAACAACAGGGGAAAAAAGAGGACUGCCUAUUUCCGAUUUAUCUUUACAUAACAACACCCAAAGCACUACCAUCAAAAAAUUAAAAUCAAUAUAUAGGAAGAAAAAAUGAAGACAUUGAUUAAAAGAAAAGAAGUUCAAAGAGUUUCGAAUAUUAUGUCAAGUUGUCAACGACAACACAGAUCUGGAAAUGGAUUUUCUUGCCUAAUAAUUAUAUUAAAUGCAUGUUCAUGCAUGACUUUUGUUCCAACUGUGUUCCCUGUAUCACAAUUCCUCCAUCAUGUAUACAUGUAGAGCAAGGGCAAUGUUAAAAAACCAUCACAUCUUGUGUAACACCAACAAAACAGCUUUUUAUUGUUUGGACAUUAAAUGCUUAUGAUUAUACUUAAAAUUGCAAGAAAAAGGACUGUACCUGUGUAAAGUACAA